Molecule: ribosomal RNA, 674 nt
Rfam family: 5.8S ribosomal RNA (bases 255-408)
GGAAGUAAAAGUCGUAACAAGGGUUUCCGUAGGUGAACCUGCGGAAGGAUCAUUAAUGAAUUUUGAAAGGGGUUGUAGCUGGCCUUUCCAGGCAUUUUGUGCACGCCCUGAUCAUCAUCCUCUCACACCUGUGCACAUUCUGUAGGUGGGCUGUCUGGCAAAGUCUUUGACGUCUUUGCUCUGUUGGCCCUCCUAUGUUUUAUUACAAACUUUACAGUUCAAAGAAUGUCUAUCGCGUCUAACGCAUUAUAUACAACUUUCAGCAACGGAUCUCUUGGCUCUCGCAUCGAUGAAGAACGCAGCGAAAUGCGAUAAGUAAUGUGAAUUGCAGAAUUCAGUGAAUCAUCGAAUCUUUGAACGCACCUUGCGCUCCUUGGUAUUCCGAGGAGCAUGCCUGUUUGAGUGUCGUGGAAUCAUCAACUCUAUUUGCUUUUGUGAAUAGAGCUUGGACUUGGAGGUUAAUUGCCGGAUGCAUCAGUGUCUGGCUCCUCUUGAAUAUAUUAGCUUGAACCUUUGUGGAUCAGCUUCGGUGUGAUAAUUGUCUACGCCGUCCUGAGAAGCAUAACUGUGGGUUUUGGCUUCCAAUCGUCCUUCACGGGACAAAUUAUUAUGACCUUUGACCUCAAAUCAGGUAGGGUUACCCGCUGAACUUAAGCAUAUCAAUAAGCGGAGGA